This is a long non-coding RNA of Dromiciops gliroides (monito del monte), 428 nucleotides long. RefSeq lists it as uncharacterized. Lineage: Eukaryota; Metazoa; Chordata; Mammalia; Microbiotheria; Microbiotheriidae. The transcript is spliced from 4 exons. The record is from RefSeq and is a predicted model, not a curated record.
GAUAAGGUUACAGCUUUAGCGGAUGGCCAGGGAGGCCUCCUAGUUUGUGUCCCUUCACUGGGCCGGCCUUCUUCCUUCUGCCCGCCCUCCUUUCUUUGGGGCGGGAUGGGUAGUGCUGACUGGGCCCAACCUGAUGGACCUGUUUGUUCUUUGCCCAGAGGGAUGGCAUGCCUGGAAAUUUUUCUUCCACAGCCAAAUUCAACUCCUCUUACAUCUGACCUUCAGCAGCAAAAGCCUUGGCUGAGGGUCAGCACUUCAAAUUAAACUUGUUAAACAUGGAGAAGAUAGUUGGCAGAAUUUUAAAAAGAGCUGCUAUCUGUGCUAGAGCUGGUGCUAGAGGAAGAGCUGGAAUCUGACUCCGAAUCAGAAGAAGAGGAAGAACUAGUUGAGGAAGGUGAUGAUGAUGAAGUAGAAGAACUUUCCUCAGU